UGCCCUACACUGUAAAAAAAUACUGUGAUUUCUACGGGCGUUUAGUAGUAUCUGACGACGGCGUGUUACCGUAAUCACAAAUACUGCGAAAACUACGUAAAACGGUGGCGCCAUCAUCAUGCGCCGGCCAAAAACUUCAAUGCGGAGGCAAGGCCAAGCCAAGUACGGGUCAUUGCCGUCAUUCACAACAGCCGGACGCCGAACAUCGUGCGUGGACGAUCGUUGAGGAAGAAGAACGAAGUGGUCGUUGUAAAUCUCGUGAAUGCACGUAGCCAGUGUUUUGAUGCCAGAGCUGACUGAUGGGUGCACAUGGCUCCUUCGAAUGUUCUUCCUUUGAAAAAAUAAACAUGUUUUGAUGCCAGAGCUGACUGAUGGGUGCACAUGGCUCCUUCGAAUGUUCUUCCUUUGAAAAAAUAAACAUGUCUUGAUGCCAGAGCUGACUGAUGGGUGCACAUGGUUCCUUCGAAUGUUCUUCCUUUGAAAAAAUAAACGGGUUUUGAUGCCAGAGGUGAUUGGCGCAUUUUCAUCACUAUGUACAUAGAAAAUAAAUCCCGAUGUGACAAACAUCACAA
Long non-coding RNA from Ornithodoros turicata, 572 nucleotides. RefSeq lists it as uncharacterized. The transcript has 5 exons. The record is from RefSeq and is a predicted model, not a curated record. Lineage: Eukaryota; Metazoa; Arthropoda; Arachnida; Ixodida; Argasidae.